Molecule: ribosomal RNA, 939 nt
Filed under: uncultured Nostoc sp.
Lineage: Bacteria; Bacillati; Cyanobacteriota; Cyanophyceae; Nostocales; Nostocaceae
Description: bacterial SSU rRNA
Source: RNAcentral
AGUCGAACGAAAUCUUCGGAUUUAGUGGCGGACGGGUGAGUAACGCGUGAGAAUCUGGCUUCAGGUCUGGGACAACCACUGGAAACGGUGGCUAAUACCGGAUGUGCCGAGAGGUGAAAGGUUAACUGCCUGAAGAUGAGCUCGCGUCUGAUUAGCUAGUUGGUAGAGUAAGAGCCUACCAAGGCGACGAUCAGUAGCUGGUCUGAGAGGACGAUCAGCCACACUGGGACUGAGACACGGCCCAGACUCCUACGGGAGGCAGCAGUGGGGAAUUUUCCGCAAUGGGCGAAAGCCUGACGGAGCAAUACCGCGUGAGGGAGGAAGGCUCUUGGGUCGUAAACCUCUUUUCUCAGGGAAGAACACAAUGACGGUACCUGAGGAAUAAGCAUCGGCUAACUCCGUGCCAGCAGCCGCGGUAAUACGGAGGAUGCAAGCGUUAUCCGGAAUGAUUGGGCGUAAAGCGUCCGCAGGUGGCAAUGUAAGUCUGCUGUUAAAGAGUCUAGCUCAACUAGAUAAGAGCAGUGGAAACUACAUAGCUAGAGUACGUUCGGGGCAGAGGGAAUUCCUGGUGUAGCGGUGAAAUGCGUAGAGAUCAGGAAGAACACCAGUGGCGAAGGCGCUCUGCUAGGCCGUAACUGACACUGAGGGACGAAAGCUAGGGGAGCGAAUGGGAUUAGAUACCCCAGUAGUCCUAGCCGUAAACGAUGGAUACUAGGCGUGGCUUGUAUCGACCCGAGCCGUGCCGUAGCUAACGCGUUAAGUAUCCCGCCUGGGGAGUACGCCGGCAACGGUGAAACUCAAAGGAAUUGACGGGGGCCCGCACAAGCGGUGGARUWKKKGGUUUAAUUCGAUGCAACGCGAAGAACCUUACCAAGGCUUGACAUGUCGCGAAUCCUGGUGAAAGCUGGGAGUGCCUUCGGGAGCGCGAACACAGGUGGU